CGGAACGUGCCCAAUCGUGGGGGAUAGCUCGGCGAAAGCCGGAUUAAUACCGCAUACGAUCUACGGAUGAAAGCAGGGGACUCGCAAGGGCCUUGCGCGAAUGGAGCGGCCGAUGGCAGAUUAGGUAGUUGGUGGGGUAAAGGCUCACCAAGCCGACGAUCUGUAGCUGGUCUGAGAGGACGACCAGCCACACUGGGACUGAGACACGGCCCAGACUCCUACGGGAGGCAGCAGUGGGGAAUUUUGGACAAUGGGCGCAAGCCUGAUCCAGCAAUGCCGCGUGCAGGAUGAAGGCCUUCGGGUUGUAAACUGCUUUUGUACGGAACGAAAAAGCUCUGGUUAAUACCUGGGGCCCAUGACGGUACCGUAAGAAUAAGCACCGGCUAACUACGUGCCAGCAGCCGCGGUAAUACGUAGGGUGCGAGCGUUAAUCGGAAUUACUGGGCGUAAAGCGUGCGCAGGCGGUGAUGUAAGACAGUUGUGAAAUCCCCGGGCUCAACCUGGGAACUGCAUCUGUGACUGCAUCGCUGGAGUGCGGCAGAGGGGGAUGGAAUUCCGCGU
RNAcentral lists this ribosomal RNA (561 nucleotides) under uncultured bacterium. RNAcentral describes it as "bacterial SSU rRNA". It matches the Rfam family "Bacterial small subunit ribosomal RNA", at positions 119 to 674 of the family's 1533-position model. The record is from RNAcentral.